UUCAAUAAACUCAUAAUAAAUCCAAAAUAUAAUUCUAUAACAAAACUCCCAAAAUCGGUGAAACUGAGUCAUAAGCUCUAUACGAGUAUAUUGUAAAAUCCCUAGUACAACACUGUCUAGAUAAAGAAUAAACAAUAGUAAAAUAAGGACAGAAGGUGACUCCGACGCCUGCGGACACCGGGCAGGUAUACCUUGAAGUCUCCGAACUGUAUGAUCCACUCACUGAUGCCUAGCCUGAGUCGAGGUACCUGGAUCUGUACAAAUAUGUGCAGAAGAGUAGUAUGAGUACACCACAACGCUACCCAGUAAGUAUCAAGCCUAACCUCGGUAGAAUAGUGACGAGGGAUCAAGACACCUACUAGGAUAAGAAGAAACUGAAUAGGUAUAGCCUAGUCUAAUAAUGAAAACAGGGAAUAGUGGCAAUAAAGCAAUACAACAAGGUAAGCUACAACUGAAUUUAAAGCAAUAAAGGCAACAAGAAAGGAAACAUAGUAAGAACAUCAAGAAAACAAUGCGGACAAAUACAAGUGAGGCCAAUGAGAGGUAACAAAAACAAUCGCAACCGAGGUACCACCUCGUAAUCUCAUUUCAUAAUCACAAUAUUUCCUUAUACCGUCGCGUGAGCCUUACAUUUAGAUAGUUUUGAAAAUAUUUUUCCCAAAAUAGCUACACGCACUUUAGCCCACCUUAUGUCACCUCGUGGCUUCAAGUAAUUUCCUUACUAGCAACACACACAUAGAUCCCACCUUAUGUUGCCGCAUGCAAAUUAACCCUUAUUCUUUUACCGCUGCAUGCAUAUCAAUAUCACAAUAUAAUUACAACUCCCACCACAAGUGCCCAUAUGCCACAACUUGCCAAAAGAAUAAACAAUACUAAUAUUUUCACAACAAAUAACAAUGGCUCAACCAUAAUAUGUACAAGAGUCUCAACAAUAACAAGAUAAUAGUGAAUAGCUCAACAAGAAUGAUAUCUCAACAAUUAACAACUUCGCCUCAAAGUGAUAACGGCUUUUACAACUUCAACACCAAUAACUAAACAAGAAUAUAUUCCAUGAAAUAACAACUUCAAGUAAGUAAUUCAACAAUUAAAGAAGUAACAAGACAAUAAGGAAGGCAAUAACUUCAACUAAAGCAUAUAAGAGCCAAAUAAUAAGUAAGAGGUGGAACAAGUGCUAACAAUGUCAAAUAAAGCAUACGAGGGUAGAUUAACAUAUGUAAGGGUAGAUUAACAAUGAAAGAUAUAACAUAUUAUGACAAUUCAAUUAAAGGCAUGAAAAGAGUCUAAAUAGCCUAUACUGUCAAAUACCACAUAUAGCCCGUGUACCCACUCGUCACCUUGCGUACACGGCUCUCAUAUAACACAAAUAGCACAAACAACUCCAAUCCUAAGGGGUAGUUCCCCCACACAAAGUUAGGGAAGAUACUUACCUCAAACAAGCUAACUCAAUCCACUAGUAAGCCUUUCCACGAAUAUCCAACUCCGAACGGCUC
Molecule: long non-coding RNA, 1490 nt
Filed under: Nicotiana tabacum (common tobacco)
Lineage: Eukaryota; Viridiplantae; Streptophyta; Magnoliopsida; Solanales; Solanaceae
Description: long non-coding RNA (NTAB_LNC009668)
Source: RNAcentral